This 1032-nucleotide unclassified non-coding RNA is filed under the name uncultured Prochlorococcus sp. Its description in RNAcentral is "partial contains 16S ribosomal RNA, 16S-23S ribosomal RNA intergenic spacer, tRNA-Ile, tRNA-Ala, and 23S ribosomal RNA". The stretch from base 1 to 289 matches the Rfam family "Bacterial small subunit ribosomal RNA", at positions 1243 to 1533 of the family's 1533-position model. Lineage: Bacteria; Bacillati; Cyanobacteriota; Cyanophyceae; Synechococcales; Prochlorococcaceae. The record is from RNAcentral.
ANGGCAGCAACUCGCGAGACUAGCAAAUCCCUAAACCGUGGCUCAGUUCAGAUCGUAGGCUGCAACUCGCCUACGUGAAGUAGGAAUCGCUAGUAAUCGCAGGUCAGCAUACUGCGGUGAAUACGUUCCCGGGCCUUGUACACACCGCCCGUCACACCAUGGAAGUUGGCCAUGCCCGAAGUCGUUACUCCAACCCUUGUGGAGGAGGACGCCGAAGGUGGGGCUAAUGACUGGGGUGAAGUCGUAACAAGGUAGCCGUACCGGAAGGUGCGGCUGGAUCACCUCCUAACAGGGAGACAACAAAAUGUAAAUAUUAAUUUUGUCACCUUAGGUCGAUCGGUAUCUCAGAUUCUUAAAAUAUUUAAGAAUUUCAGUUUCUAAGUUUUUUCUAGGUCACACCCAUCACUUUUUCCUGGGCCAUUAGCUCAGGUGGUUAGAGCGCACCCCUGAUAAGGGUGAGGUCCCUGGUUCAAGUCCAGGAUGGCCCAUAUCUCUAUGUUGGGGGUAUAGCUCAGUUGGUAGAGCGCCUGCUUUGCAAGCAGGAUGUCAGCGGUUCGAGUCCGCUUACCUCCACUGAAUACCACCUCUUUACAUAUAGUUGAAGUGGGAAAUUGUUUUGAGUCGUGUCCUAAUUUGCUCUGAGCGAAUCUAGCUUCCUAUUUUAUCCAAGAAAUAAGAUGCUGGACUCAUUGAAUUUUUUUCAUUGUUUUCAGAGAACCUUGACAACUGCAUUGAUUAUUUUUAAAGACAAUAAGCAUCUUUAAUGAUGCAGAUUUAUUAUUUGUGCGAAUGCAUUAAAUAACAAUUCUAUUAAGCUGAUGCUUCAAUUAUUGAAGUUAUUGGUCAAGCUACAAAGGGCUCACGGAGGAUACCUAGGCACACAGAGGCGAUGAAGGACGUGGUUACCUGCGAUAAGUCUCGGGGAGUUGGAAGCACACUUUGAUCCGGGAAUUUCCGAAUGGGGCAACCCCUUGAACGACCAACUGAAUAUAUAGGUUGGUGCGAGCUAACCCAGCGAACUGAAACAUCUUA